Molecule: unclassified non-coding RNA, 215 nt
Filed under: Glomus sp.
Lineage: Eukaryota; Fungi; Glomeromycota; Glomeromycetes; Glomerales; Glomeraceae
Description: partial contains 5.8S ribosomal RNA and internal transcribed spacer 2
Rfam family: 5.8S ribosomal RNA (bases 1-65)
Source: RNAcentral
GUGAAUCAUCAAAUUUUUGAACGCAAAUUGCACUCUCUUCGGAGAGUAUGCCUGUUUGAGGGUCAGCCUAAAAAAAAUCGACAUAGUUGCUGUUACGCGGUAACAUUCGUCGGAAAUUGGGUCAUCUUAAACCUUUGGGUUUAAGCGGCUUAAAAUUUUCUUUCGGUUCCAAGGACGUUUCCUAGAUUUUUUUUUCUUUUACGUUUUAGGUUUUG